CAUGCAGUUGGGCGGUGCUCUAGCCAAACCGUUCUAUACUUGAUAAUAAUAAGAGUAAUUCUUGCAAGUGGCGAUUGCAGUGUGUGCUGUGCUAGCGAGAAUCGGGAGUAGAUUCAGUGUGCAGAUGACUGGCAAAAUAGCGAGUUCCCGUUCCCAAUUUGGUGGCAAUUUCUCAAUUUUCUUGGCCCGGGAUUUACUUUCGAGUGCGCUGCGUAGAUCGGUGUUUUUUCCUUUUGCUUCACACGGCCAAGUGACGUCGAACGGAAAAUAUACGACACGACUCUUUUGUUUUUCCGCGUGGUUAAUGUGCCUAUUUUUUAUUUGAGUGCGACAGGCAGUGACCAGAAAAUAACUCUAAACUAUGCGUCUAUUGCUGAUGCAACCAGAAGAAAUAGUGAUGCAAACAGAACCGAAAGUGGCAGCCAAACACGAAACUCUCCUACGAGUAACAAGGAUUUCACAGCCUCACAUGUGGCAGCUAAAAAAGCAACAUCAGUGUAACUAGCAGCAAAACAAACAGUAAGCAGCAGCAACAAACAAACACGGCAGCCGCAACAUCAGCAUUUGGAGCAACAAACACCCACACAAAGCUGCAACAGGCAGUGCAACAUGCUGCUGGCGGCAAUCGGAAACCAGGAAAACAUGCUACCGCCCUCCGGAGCAGCAAUCAAGCGAAAGACCGAUCCAGAGCAACAGCAGCAACGCAAGCAGCACAGGAGCAACAUCCUCAGAUGCAACAACAGCAACAACAGCAGCAACAACAACAUUAGCAGCAGCUGCAGCAUUAACAACAGCGACAAUCGACAACUUCAGCGGCAGCAGGGCAAAAUGUAUUACAACUCCAACUCGCGACCCUUUUGGAGGAAAUGCAGAUCGGCUGCCCCAACGAAUCCAAUGGCCAGAAUCCCCACUAACUACGACCUGUGCAACGCAGCAGCAGCAGCAACAUAUGACAAAAUGCAGCGUUGCAACCAGAACAGCAGCAGCAGCACCAGCAACAUUACAACGACCAGCAACAUCGGGGGUGGCAGCAACAAACGCUGCCCUCAGAAGUACACCGGCAACAAUAACCUAGCCGCCGCCAGCGGCAUGUUGGCUUAUCAGCAGCACGCCACUGCCUCCUCGGCAGCAACGUUGCAGCACGGCAGCAGCGCCGGUGGCAAGAACUCCUCUCGCAAGAGUCGCUACAAUAGCAACAAGCAGAAUCAGCAGCAACAGCAGCAGCAGUUUGAGCACAUCCAGAAGCGGAAUGGAGCCGCUGGAGGAAGCGCAGAAGCGCCACCCACAUCCACCUGGCUCGAACGGGGCUACGGACGCCGGUUGACCCAUUCUUCAUGCAUCGAAGACAAAUUCCUAGGCCAGCACAAUCCGGGCCAUCGCAAUAGCACCAGCAGCGAGGCGACCAGCGAGGACAUAGACUCCACUAGCGAGCUCCUAAACAAACCAAAGGGCAACUCAAGCGCCGGCAGCAACACUUUCAACAACCAUGUGGCAGGCAGCAGCAAGAGUCGCUCGAAGCGCCAGCAAAAGCCGUCCGUUGGCCAGCAGACUCGCAAUCCUGACCAGAAUGGCCAGAGGACCGGAGCAACUGGCCCCAUGGCGGGCCAGAAGGUCAAGCAGGCGAAUGCCAAGUGGCGCCAGCAGCAGCCCAAUCCCAGCAGCAACAACCAGCAGCAGCAGCAGCAACAACAGCAGCAGCAGCAACAGCAGAAGCGCGGCAGGAACAAGAAGUCCGCAAAGUGCAGCAGCAGCAUCAGCAAUUCCGACAGCAACAUGGUCAAGCAUGGUGGCAAUGGUCAGCGGAAGACCUGCGACAGCAGCUCCUCCUCUGCGCUGAGCUCGCCCACCAGUUCACCAACCAGUUCCCCCCACGCCAACGGCAAUCGGAAGCGGAUCGAACGCUCCUUGAUGCCGGGCGCCGCUCUGGAAUGGCGGCGGGAGCGGGAGCGUGGUCGCCAGAACGCCAACUUCCUGGUGCCUCCCCUCCGCCAGUACGAGCAACUGGAUCUAGACGACACAGCCGUGGUGCAGCAACUGCGUCGGCACAUCAUAGAUCACCAUCUGCUGAGGGUCUACGGCUUUCCCGUGGAGUCGGUGGUCCAUGAAGGCGCCAUCGAAAUCUUCAAGUGCCUGCCGCACAUGAGCUUCGCAGCUGCGCUGGCGGAAACCGCACCGGCAGUCACGGUGAUCAACUACCACGACGGACUGACCAACCGCGUUGAGGAGGAGGUGGCCACCUCGACCGACUCCGGCAACAGUUCGCCCCGCUCCUUGGACUCCGAAUCGGGCGGCGAGUGGAGCGGCAGCGAGUGCGAGUCCUCGAACUCAUCCUCCUCCUCCGCCGGCGACGCCGAGUUGAGUCUCGAGCUCAAGUACUGCCAGUAUGUGCAGGUGGAAAGGAGUCUGGCCAAGCCGUGUGCACGCUGCAAGCGCCACUUUCUGGUGGACGAGCUGACGGGCCAAUACCUGACCCACGAGGAGUGCCACUACCACUCCGGGAAGUACCAGCGUUACUACGAUGGCGUCUGCCACGGACGUUGGACGUGCUGCAACGAGGGCGAGGAAUCCUCGCCGGGAUGCUGCCUGGGCGACCGGCAUGUGUGGACGGGAUCGGUGGUGGGGGUCAAUGGGCCCUACUACGACUUCGUUAGGACCGAGCAGCGAGGAUCCGGCGAGGACGAGCCCGCCGUGUACGCCCUGGACUGCGAGAUGAGCUAUACGGGUCGUGGUCUGGACGUGACCAAGGUCUCCCUGGUGGCACUCAAUGGCCAAUUGGUGUAUGAGCACUUUGUUCGGCCCGAGUGCGACAUAAUUGACUACAACACCCAGUAUUCGGGCAUUACGGAAAGGGAUCUGCGUUUCGGAGCCAAGAGUCUGGCCGAGGUGCAGCGGGAUCUGCUCGAGCUGAUCACGGCGGACACCAUCCUCAUCGGACACGGGCUGGACAACGAUCUGCGGGCACUGCGCUUGGUGCACAACACCCUGAUCGACACCUCCAUCAGCUUCCCGCACUGCAGUGGGUUUCCCUACCGCCGGGCCCUGCGUCACCUGACCAAGGUGCACCUGAAGCGGGAGAUCCAGAGCGGUGAUGGCACCACGGGACACAGCUGCUUCGAGGACUCGCGGGCCUGCAUGGAGCUGAUGCUGUGGAGGGUCAACCGCGAGCUGGAUCCCACUUGGAGCUGGGACGAUUGAGGGGGGGCUCGAUCGGGGGGUGCAGAUCGGUAACAUUGGGGGGCCAGCAAGUACUUUUAGUUGUUAAGCCAGUAGGUACUAGUUCGGCUAGUUUGUACUAGUACUGUAUUCAAACACAAACAAAACACAAUCGUAAAAUCUCAGCUGGGUUGCUCACCUGGCAAUCGGUUUCUAUAGCACCGACUAACUGACUUAUCUCGGUUAUGCUCGUACAUAAUGUAUAUAGGGCCCCAUUGCCAGGAGUUCGCUCGGCGUAUAUAUAAAGUAAAUCGCAAAAUUGAAAUGACAAAAAAUGGCAAGAGAGGAGCAAGCGAGGAAUGAGGAAGGAGGAGGAUAAGCACAUAAUUAUAUGCGGUACAUAAGAAACUGUCGACGUUUAACUAUUGUUCCUCGAUUCUGUUCCAUUUGCGAAAUGAGCCGAGGAAUACUUUAUUCGAAAAUCGAUGUUCCUAGCAGAAUAAGUUUCAGCACAAAUAUGUACACUGCACCAAGCAGAUGUCUUUAUAUUGAACGGAAAGAAUGAGAAGAGUAAUGCAAAUGCACAACGAAAAUUUCAAGAGAAUAAAAGCAACAAAGAUUUGUCUAAACCUAAA
This 3788-nucleotide unclassified non-coding RNA is filed under the name Drosophila yakuba. RNAcentral's name for it is "GE16711". Lineage: Eukaryota; Metazoa; Arthropoda; Insecta; Diptera; Drosophilidae. The record is from RNAcentral.